GUUCAUUAAACAAAAUAAUAGAGCCAACAAAAUGUUGUUCCCAUCAAACUGGAAUAUUCAAAAAGUAUUACUGCUAAUACAAGAUUCCAAACAAACAUAAAAAAAAUACAAUAAAACUAAGUGAUUGUGAUACGUUCACUACUAUCCACAUCAACGUUUGAUCUGAUUGGCUUGGCUGGUGCCUCACUGUCACUAAUCG
RNAcentral lists this long non-coding RNA (199 nucleotides) under Solanum tuberosum (potato). RNAcentral describes it as "long non-coding RNA (STUB_LNC010436)". Lineage: Eukaryota; Viridiplantae; Streptophyta; Magnoliopsida; Solanales; Solanaceae. The record is from RNAcentral.